AAAUAUUCAACGACCAAGUGGACUCAACUUGUUUACAUUCAAUGUCCAUAUUCAUGGAAUCACAGUUUCCAGGAAAAAUGAAAAAGACAAAAACGGAAAGAGCCAUAUUCAUCUUCUGGAUUGCGCAAUAAUAUGUUUCAUUAUUACAUUGGAAUUUCAUUUUCACCAAUUAGCCAAAAAAAAAUCGCCAAAUCAACGGACGCGAAAUCGCCUACUUUCCACACAAUCAACGGCCAAGAUUGGCGUAAAUUCCGAAGACGAAACUUCAGAGAGUACUCGGUUUCACUGUUUCAGAGCCAUCUCUCCCUGCCUCUUUCCGGACAACAAACGCACGUGAUCACCGACCCCAGGUGCAGUACACGCGCUUAAUCUGACACGCCAGCCGGCAAGGAGCAGCUCGCCAGCUCGUGCCUUGUGGGAUUCUAAAAUUUGUUGCUGUCGUUUGAUCUUAUUUUGUCUGCGUUUUAAAAAAGGGUGACCCGCACGAGAAGUAGGCGGUGGUCCAUAGUCGAACCUAUUUCAGCGGCCCGCCCGCGACGCUAUGCUAAUAUUGGAAAUUGCUGCCUUUGAGGCAGCGAUGCCCAUGUUUUCUUUAAGUAGUCAGAGACAGAAAGUGAGCAAUAAGGCUGCCCCUUCUUGUGUACUUAUUUUCAAUAAUAUUAUCAUAUCAUACUAAUCUAAUUUCAAUAUUAUUAGGCUUGUUUCUAAAUUUUAAUAAUAUUUUUGAGACAUCAUUUCUUCUUAUAUAUAAAUUUUUUUUCCUGAAUUAAAUUGUACACUAUGGACAUGUAUUGCAGCAUGUAUUAAGAGG
This 811-nucleotide long non-coding RNA is filed under the name Citrus x clementina. Its description in RNAcentral is "Citrus clementina (C. clementina) long non-coding RNA (CCLE_LNC000135)". The record is from RNAcentral. Lineage: Eukaryota; Viridiplantae; Streptophyta; Magnoliopsida; Sapindales; Rutaceae.